This 2023-nucleotide long non-coding RNA is filed under the name Capsicum annuum. RNAcentral's name for it is "long non-coding RNA (CANN_LNC003870)". The record is from RNAcentral. Lineage: Eukaryota; Viridiplantae; Streptophyta; Magnoliopsida; Solanales; Solanaceae.
UUACCUUCCUUUUUUUUUUUUUUUUAAAAUUAUUUUCUUUCCUCUUCAAUACAUACAUUAAGAACAAAAAACAUAUAAUUAAAACACAUAUUAGUUAUUUAUUAUACUACCAAACAAAUGUACCAAUAUUAGAAAAGGAGGGCAAAAUGUCUCAAUACUGCUGACUUAAUUACUGAAAUCCCUAAAUUUAAAGCAAUAUCUUCUACAACUAACUUCUUAUAUUUACAUUUUAAUUACUAGUAAUAAUUUUUAAUUAUUUCCAGACAUAGUAUUCAGUUUGUGGGUAUGUAUGCAUCAGCCGCGGCACAAUAAUUGGGCUCGGAAAAGUUUUUAAGUAGGUAAUUGUGUUGAGUAAUGAUAUUGACAAUGUUGAAUAUUACUAGUAGGUUGAGGUCUUUCUAAAUUUCUAGUCACCUUACGUGAAAAAAUUUGAAUGUCAUUACUAUGAUGUAUUGCAAUUUGCAAAUGAACCUUCCUUUUUUUUUUUUUUUUAAAAUUAUUUUCUUUCCUCUUCAAUACAUACAUUAAGAACAAAAAACAUAUAAUUAAAACACAUAUUAGUUAUUUAUUAUACUACCAAACAAAUGUACCAAUAUUAGAAAAGGAGGGCAAAAUGUCUCAAUACUGCUGACUUAAUUACUGAAAUCCCUAAAUUUAAAGCAAUAUCUUCUACAACUAACUUCUUAUAUUUACAUUUUAAUUACUAGUAAUAAUUUUUAAUUAUUUCCAGACAUAGUAUUCAGUUUGUGGGUAUGUAUGCAUCAGCCGCGGCACAAUAAUUGGGCUCGGAAAAGUUUUUAAGUAGGUAAUUGUGUUGAGUAAUGAUAUUGACAAUGUUGAAUAUUACUAGUAGGUUGAGGUCUUUCUAAAUUUCUAGUCACCUUACGUGAAAAAAUUUGAAUGUCAUUACUAUGAUGUAUUGCAAUUUGCAAAUGAUGUAGAAGGGAGUGGAAUUAUUGAGGUGUAGCCACGAGGUGGUGACAUGUAUGGAUAGAAUUAUGAGGAAGCAACGCAUUUCUGGCUGCCCUUUUUAUCCUUUUAAAUCAACAACUAGUAGUAGCUAGUACACAUUUAUUGGAAUCUGGUGCCCAAUUGAAACACUAUUCCAUUCAUUUUUUUCUUUUAAUUGUUAUUAUUAUUCCGUUAGGUUAGACGUGAGGUGGAUCCAUAUAUAUUAUCAGGGACGGAUCUAUAUAUUAUAAUAUAAUAAUUCAAUGCUUACACAUUUCUAAGAACCUUAUUUUUUUUAUUUGUAGAGGUUUAAUUUGAAAAAAGUAAAAUUAAAAAUAAAAUAAAACUGCAAAAAAGUAUAAUAUUUUGUAAGAAGGGCUCGCAAAGUAAAGCUGAGAAGAAAUGUUAAAAGGGCAUGAUAAGAAAGGUUAAAGUUUAACAGAUAUCUAUUUUAUUUUUAUACGCUUACUUUUUAUAUAUCGAAUCCCCUGAAUAAAAAUCCUAAAUCCGCCACCGUACAUUAUUACUAUUAUUAUAAUCAACAAAAAGACAAAAAUAUCGCAACUAGGAAAUGUGAGUACAACAUGGUUGGCAGCCUCACCAUAUGUCACGAGUUAUUUGGUCGCUGCUCUAUUAUUACUUGUAUUGAAGUUUUUUAUUUAUCAAUGAUUAUAUCAAACAAAUCAUGACUAAUUUUUAUACCUUAAAUUUGGACGGAGUAGAGGAGUUGGAUUUUUAAAAGUUGAAACUGACUAGACACACGUUAGGUUUGUGAAAUAGAGUAAUUAGGUUACCGGAAAAAGGUACAUGGUUUGAGUUGUAAGAUAAUAGCAACGAACACUUCAUCGCGCAUAAAUUUUUAGUAACAUCUUGCACAAAGAUGAUGUACCUAGCAUAUCUGCAAAAAAUUGGAGUUCGGAGCUUAAAAGAUAAAUUUUUUUAGUUAAAAUUUUAAAAGGCCACCCAAUACUAAAUAAUUUCAAAAGGGAUGUUUCCCUUGUCUAUUAAAAAGAAAUAUUAGAAUGUAAGGUACAAUGAUGAAUUUACCUUAUAAGGUUAAAUAGUGAGUUUA